Molecule: transfer RNA, 76 nt
Filed under: Escherichia coli
Lineage: Bacteria; Pseudomonadati; Pseudomonadota; Gammaproteobacteria; Enterobacterales; Enterobacteriaceae
Also listed under: 6 other names
Description: tRNA-Val
Rfam family: tRNA
About the family: Transfer RNA (tRNA) molecules are approximately 80 nucleotides in length. Their secondary structure includes four short double-helical elements and three loops (D, anti-codon, and T loops). Further hydrogen bonds mediate the characteristic L-shaped molecular structure. tRNAs have two regions of fundamental functional importance: the anti-codon, which is responsible for specific mRNA codon recognition, and the 3' end, to which the tRNAs corresponding amino acid is attached (by aminoacyl-tRNA synthetases). tRNAs cope with the degeneracy of the genetic code in two manners: having more than one tRNA (with a specific anti-codon) for a particular amino acid; and 'wobble' base-pairing, i.e. permitting non-standard base-pairing at the 3rd anti-codon position.
Source: RNAcentral
GGGUGAUUAGCUCAGCUGGGAGAGCACCUCCCUUACAAGGAGGGGGUCGGAGGUUCGAUCCCGUCAUCACCCACCA